UGAUCUGAUUUUGGAUCUCUAAGUUGAAGUUUAUGCUUCAUACCUGAGAGUAAAUCGGAUCAUAGCUUGCGGGGACCUUUUGUAAGUAUUCUUUCGUUCUUUUCAUUCGUUUUUAUCGCUAAAGUCAAACUGCGUUUGACUUUCUGCUUUGACCAGUUUAUGGUCAACGCGAAGUUCAUUUGAACUUCAUAACGUGAGCAUAAUCACGAUGGUUAUGGUCCCUAGUGACUAUACCUACUGAUUACCACGUUAUCUAGGCCCAGUGACGAGUCGUAGUUUUGGCUAAAAUGCGUUUUCUCGCGUAUUUUGUAACCAAGCUACUUAUAGGUAUCAAAACCGUUUGUUUUGAUACCAAACCUGUUUUGCAACUUAACUAAACAUGUUUUAGCAUGUUUAGCUCGUCACUUUUUAGUUUAGUGCUUGUGUAGAGUCGUAAGUCAAGCGGACUAAACACCCGCUUAGACUUUCGAACACGACCCGUUUGGUCGAUUAUUAGGAUCCGACCAAACAUGUUUAGUGACCAUAGUAGCAUAGGGAAUAACCUUCCGAGGUUAUACUUUAUGGUCACCUAGGUUUAAUUAAUCAUAUGAUAGGUAAUUUAUAUGCCUUAGGAAAAUUACCAAAAUACCCUUUUUACGCAUAAAUUCAUUUUAAGCAUAUGUAACCUAAAUUUUGACAUCUAAGCUGAUUAGACAAUAAUAUUAGACAUGUUAAGGCAUAUAUUACUUGUCAUAGGACUAGUUAGGCGUUCCGAACGCGUUUUACGCGAACGACGCGUUAAAGUAGCGUAAGCUACCUAAACGGGUCAUAUCGGGUCGUAAGCACUUAGGUUAGGUUCCAUUUUUGUAUGUAGGCUUUGUUAGACCAUAUCAUAUGAGUUCCAAUACUCAUUUGGUUUACGAAACCUCAUACUAUCCGAUCUUCCGAGUUGGGUCCGGUUAUUAAUGUAGUUACCUAUAUUAGGUGCCGUUUGAUUUCCGUGAUCCCUCUAGCUUUGCUUGGUUGUUGUUCAAGACUUAUAAGCACCCUCAACAUAUGGACACAUUGAAUUACAUUUUGAACCGUUGUACAAUAGUUGAUGAUAUUUAAUGAUGAUAUUGGUGUAUGCUCACAUAGGAAUGGACUAGGCCUUAGUGACUUAAUAACAACGAAAGACUAUUUGUUUAUGUUUUGUUUCAAUUUCUAAUGUAAUGUAAUACAUUUGAUUUGAUAAAACGAAACUAUU
RNAcentral lists this long non-coding RNA (1225 nucleotides) under Helianthus annuus (common sunflower). Its description in RNAcentral is "hypothetical non coding rna". The record is from RNAcentral. Lineage: Eukaryota; Viridiplantae; Streptophyta; Magnoliopsida; Asterales; Asteraceae.